Long non-coding RNA from Lathyrus oleraceus (garden pea), 2040 nucleotides. RefSeq lists it as uncharacterized. The transcript has 3 exons. Lineage: Eukaryota; Viridiplantae; Streptophyta; Magnoliopsida; Fabales; Fabaceae. The record is from RefSeq and is a predicted model, not a curated record.
GCAGAUGAGACGGUUCGUACAUAGCUUAUUCCGCUUGACCCACGUGAUAAAGAACACGGUCCUUCUUCAACUUCCCCAAAGGUCUGAUACUCGCGAAAGAGGGGCAAUGAAUUGUAACACCGCUCUGCGAAUGGACGUCCAUCAUCGACAAUGGGUUGUGAUUUUUCCAGAAAGUAGGAGGAAUCGACCAUGAUACUACCUCAUCCAACACGUUCUUCGUUCCGAUGGAGCUUUGAAUGGGGUUUUCGCUCCAAUUGAUUCUUCAGUCGAUCUUGGCUCGAAGUCUUUUAUCGCUUUUCGGAGCGAUUCUGCCGCCUGCUGACCGGUUUGACGAUGGAUAUUCUCGGCAACAUUGAGUUUGGAGAGGAUUCACUUCUCCAAUUCAGUGAGCACGGGGUUGAAAAACUGAUGUUUAAAGGACGACGCCGCUAUUGCGCUUCAAGAAAUCAACACAACUGUAUCACGUUAAUUUUCCCCAAUCAUGGAGUCUCGCUUGAACUUCUCAACAAUAUCUUAAGCAAUUCAGUUUGAACGGGCGUGAAUCGAAGCGAAUACGACGCUUUACCGCAACGAUAAGACAGUUCGGAUGAUUCAAACGCGAAUGGGUGUGAAUCGAAGCGAACACAUCGCUUUACAGGGUUCAACUGCAGCGACAGAAGCACGUAAAUCUCUUAUGCGAUUCCAAUCUUUCACCCCUUCAUAGCCAUCUUCUUUGUUGCGACUUCGCUCUUCUGACUUCUUUGGUUAUGCGAUGUGUGAGAUUGUUGAAUUAAUGAUUACAGGCUUUGUCUUAAAUUCCGUUCAUAGAAAGGGAUUUGAGAAGAAAACGAAAAUGUGAGGAAGGGAAUCGAAGGCGAAAGCGUAUUGUUGAUUGAAGAUGGAUUCUGCACGAGGAUAGUGAAAGAAUCCCGUUGAACUGAAGGUUGAGUUUUGAGGAUUCUGCAGGUAAGGGAUGAGCCGACCUAAUGUGACUCUGUUGCAGAAUUUGCAGAGUCGAAUUUGCAGGUUUGAAUUGAUUUGCGGCUACAGGUUGCAGAACUUUGAAAAAGGUGAAAGCAAUUGGGAGAGUGAGAAAUGAAGAAAUGAAGAAAUGAAGAGGAUGAAGAAAGGGUUGGAAGAACCCUGAAGAAUCACCAUGAGGUUAGCUUUUAUAGUGUGUGAAUGCCCCUGUUGGAUGCUACUUCUAUUGCCGACAUGAAACGAAAGAGUGCAGGAUGCACUGUGUCGGUAUGUUAUGGAAUACAUGUUUGGCUUUUAUCUCCACGAGUUCUUGGUAAUUUGGUCUUUCUCUCCAUGAAUUUGCCUAAGAAAGCUGAAAUGACAGGUCAUUUAAUGGGUUUCUUCCUAUUGCUAAAAACAAGCUGCCAGAUGCGAUUCAAAAUGCCUGUGUAAUGAAAUGUGAUUCUAAUGCAAUGUUCUGUUAAGAGAUUGGUGUUGAGUUAAUUUGGUGCAUGUCAGAACAAGGUAUGUUCCAAUAGAAUUGGCUUUAUAGAAGUUAUAUCUGACCCUGCUGUGACUGCCAUGUUGCAGGUACAAACGAACGAACCUGGUAGUAGCCUACAUCCAGAGAGAUGCCAUGAGUCCUGGUAGCAAAAGGAUUAAUUGAUCCUUGGCGCUUAGUGGUUGAAAUGGAACCGAAGUGAGCUUGGUAAUUGUUUUCCCGUUAUUACUUAAAGGCUUGAUUUGGGUGUGCACCAUUAGAUUUAUCAAGUGAAGGUUGUGAAUGGUACAGUAUCGACCUGGUUGAAUUGAAAUGUCAAAGCCAAAACUCAUUGGCGGUUGGAAGGCGGCUGGUCACACGGUUUCGUAGCAGUCACGGCAGGACAGGUUGCACCUUUUUCGGAGAUGUCUUGGAACUGGAGUUUGGAAUUGUACAUAUUUAAAGUACUUUGUGGUUCCUGAGCAUACAUGUUAACUCUAGAUUAUUUAGAGUUUGCACUUGAUUUGUUCAUAGGUAAAUUGGGUUGUAACCGAAUGAUAAAUCGAAAUUGUAACCGAGUUAAAAGGUAGUAAUCAGUACUUAAGAGGAAAGUUGAAUAA